UGGUGGACUCAGUGUCGCAAAUGGAGCUACAAACGGCUCAUUCCGGUAACAGAAACACAAUGUUUCUUCAUUUCAGAUGAUUAUACCAUUAUAAAAACAUAGUUAUUUAUGUUAUAUUCCCCUUCUGCGAGUAUAUGCCCUUUAAUGCCACACACUAAACUUGAAUGAACCACCAGGCAGCAGGCUUUAAUGACGAAGCAUCCGUAGCAGCGGCUAACAUGCUAAAUGCUAAAUCACCUACAUUCACUGAGUGUCUCCGACCUUCAGCACUGAGAUGUGUGAGGACUUUCUGCGGAUUGUGGACUGGUUGUACUGGGACCAGAAAGGCAGAGUGGACUGGCUAUAUUUUACUUUGAGAAGAAGGUGAAUCUGGAGCAGCUUGGGGAGGACUUUAGGUGCACCAGACUCACAGGAUGACGUCAGACAGGCACACUGGUUCUGUGGGUCGGACAGGAAGGCCCGGUCCAGCUGGGCGGCCUCUCCCUGCAGAGCACAAAAAGAAACAAGCCAGGGUCACAAAGAGUGUACAUAGACAUUACAUAGAAAACUAGAAGACAACUAGGAACUCUGAUGAACAGAAAAAGGUCAUAUGAGUCGUACCACAUGUUUGGUUCGGACAGCAGCGACUGGGACUGGAAAAGGACACCACCGACAUCCCAACAGGACAGCUGACCUGAGGACACCUUGGUAGGCGGGGCAGCAGCGAUCCGUGGUGUUACUGUCCACUGUCAGCACCUCGCCGUCCUGGCAGACAGGAGGCGUCUCCACACAGGAAGAACACACUGCAGAAAACACACACUUUAUUCAUCACA
This is a long non-coding RNA of Epinephelus moara (kelp grouper), 812 nucleotides long. RefSeq lists it as uncharacterized. Lineage: Eukaryota; Metazoa; Chordata; Actinopteri; Perciformes; Serranidae. The transcript is spliced from 4 exons. The record is from RefSeq and is a predicted model, not a curated record.